RNAcentral lists this ribosomal RNA (497 nucleotides) under uncultured bacterium. RNAcentral's name for it is "partial 16S ribosomal RNA". It matches the Rfam family "Bacterial small subunit ribosomal RNA", at positions 28 to 507 of the family's 1533-position model. The record is from RNAcentral.
GACGAACGCUGGCGGCAUGCCUAACACAUGCAAGUCGAACGGAGAUUCCUUCGGUAAUCUUAGUGGCGAACGGGUGAGGAACGCGUGGGCAACCUGCCCUCUAGAUGGGGACAACAUCCCGAAAGGGGUGCUAAUACCGAAUGUGACAGCAAUCUCGCAUGAGGAUGCUGUGAAAGAUGGCCUCUAUUUAUAAGCUAUCGCUAGAGGAUGGGCCUGCGUCUGAUUAGCUAGUUGGUGGGGUAACGGCCUACCAAGGCGAUGAUCAGUAGCCGGUCUGAGAGGAUGAGCGGCCACAUUGGAACUGAGACACGGCCCAGACUCCUACGGGAGGCAGCAGUGGGGAAUAUUGGACAAUGGGCGAAAGCCUGACGGAGCAAUACCGCGUGGGUGAAGAAGGACUUCGUGCCGUAAAGCUCUUUUGUUGGGAAAGAAAGGCAGGAUGUUAAAAAAAAGCUGGUAUGACGGGAACUAAAGAAAAAGCCCCGGCCAACUUCGUG